AGGCAGCCUGCCGCAGCGAUUAAUCUGCGAGCACGGCGUUCAUCUGCCCAGAGAUGAAAAUUUCUUGCUUUUCUGACUCGCGGAGAGCUUUUGGCUCGAUGAGGCAAGUCAAGUAACACUCGAAAACAUU
Molecule: small nucleolar RNA, 130 nt
Organism: Selaginella moellendorffii
Lineage: Eukaryota; Viridiplantae; Streptophyta; Lycopodiopsida; Selaginellales; Selaginellaceae
Rfam family: Small nucleolar RNA snoR77
Source: Rfam